AUCCUUUUGUAGUUCGUAAGUGUGAUGACUGAGUUUUCAUGCUUAUGUGUAGGAUAUGCCUCCCUCAGAGAGUCAGACCUUGUUAUGAGUGCAUAUUACCUUUCUGAUG
This is a small nucleolar RNA of Lemur catta (Ring-tailed lemur), 109 nucleotides long. RefSeq annotates it as small nucleolar RNA U13. The record is from RefSeq and is a predicted model, not a curated record. The transcript has a single exon. NCBI's taxonomy places the organism in Eukaryota, Metazoa, Chordata, Mammalia, Primates, Lemuridae.